AUCGUAAAACUCUGUUGUAAGGGAAGAACAAGUACAGUAGUAACUGGCUGUACCUUGACGGUACCUUAUUAGAAAGCCACGGCUAACUACGUGCCAGCAGCCGCGGUAAUACGUAGGUGGCAAGCGUUGUCCGGAAUUAUUGGGCGUAAAGCGCGCGCAGGCGGUCCUUUAAGUCUGCUGUGAAAGCCCACGGCUCAACCGUGGAGGGUCAUUGGAAACUGGGGGACUUGAGUGCAGAAGAGGAAAGUGGAAUUCCAAGUGUAGCGGUGAAAUGCGUAGAGAUUUGGAGGAACACCAGUGGCGA
Molecule: ribosomal RNA, 304 nt
Filed under: Lysinibacillus xylanilyticus
Lineage: Bacteria; Bacillati; Bacillota; Bacilli; Caryophanales; Bacillaceae
Description: bacterial SSU rRNA
Rfam family: Bacterial small subunit ribosomal RNA
Source: RNAcentral